Non-coding RNA from Ictidomys tridecemlineatus (thirteen-lined ground squirrel), 6968 nucleotides. The record is from RefSeq and is a predicted model, not a curated record. Lineage: Eukaryota; Metazoa; Chordata; Mammalia; Rodentia; Sciuridae.
UCCAUCUGCCAGGAAUUACUGAUGAGAGAGACUCUCACGUGCCCCUUCCCCUGCCAAUCAAAAGUGUUUCUGUCUUCUGCACCUGCCUGGGGGUGGGAGGGGGGUUGGUAGUGCUGCGGAACGUCAGUCAACCGUCUUGUUGGUGCUGCCCCCCAGAGGCAGUGCUAGGUGGCACAUGUGGGUCUCAGUACCUGCGCAGCUUUGGGGGAAUCCUGUCCACAGAGGGGCGAGUCUCAAGUAGCAGAACUGACCAGAGGGGCUGCUUACCCGACAGCUUUAAAAUUUUAGAGUUUAGUUGAUUACUUUUAUGCAGCUUGCUGCAUUUGAACAUUUAUUUAGAAUCAGUAUAUUUAUUUUUAGUGAUAUGCUUUAACAACUGUUUUUAGGGCCAGUAGAAUUUUAUUGCCUCUCCAGUCUCCAGUGAUGCCAGUUUAUAUGAAGUUCCAUGGUUUUGGCCUGUAUGUACCUGCAUUUCUUAUAGACAGGGUCUGCAUCAGCCAAGGUCCAAGCAGGAGAGCAAACCCAUGCAGUGAUUUGAAGAGGAAAACUAAUGUCAGGAACUGUAAACUCUGAUAGGGGGUUGGCAUGAUAAGGCAUCGAUUAGUAAGGAGUAAAGCUAACUUUAAGGAAGAAAUGACCAGAUACGAGGGGCAGCCUGCUUCUAGGGCUGGGACACAGCAGUCAUCUUGGUGGCCUUUGAUGGGUUCCCCGGGUCACUGUAGUCAUGAUGACAGCCAUGGUUUAUUGAGGGCACUAUGUGCCAGGCUGUGUCCUGACCCCUUCUGUGGAGUAUUUAGCUCCACCCUACAGAUCCGACCCUGUGGGAAAUUGUGACUCCGUGAUUGGCCCUGCUGGGAGGGCGGAGUAGCUGGCACCUGGUCUUUCCUUGGUCUCCAUGUGGUGGCUCUGGAGUGGCCUUCUGCUCAAUGGAGGCUCUGGGCUUGUGUGUGGCUGGAGGGGGGUGGCCUGUGAGGCACCCCUCCCUGUGUGUGAUCCUCUGUGGCAGCCCAAGCAGAAGCCUGGUGAGCUGGGCUCCAGGUCUUGAUCAGAGGCCUUCAGUGCCAUCCCAGAGUGUUGGAGGAGUGUGCAGGUGGCAGGGUCCUCAGCAAGGGCUUGUCCUCGAGUCCCCAGGACCCCUCUGACCCACCUGUCUGGUCCAGGGAGGGGGUGGGGAGAAUGGGGUUUCUUGGCUCCCGAGUUCAUUAGGAAGGCUGCGAGUCGGGGGAUGGAGGGUGGACCGCUCACCCCAACACAGUCCUUUUUCUUUGUCCCCUUAGUUUUUCCUGUAUUAAUGUGGGUCUCCUGGUUCUCCUCAGAGGCAUCAGGAGUCCCAGGGCCCUUUUCUAGGGAGGGGCUUGGGGUCUGCGAUGUGACAUGGCCCACAUGUCACAUGUCACAUCAUGGUCUCUGGUCUGACUCUGGCCUUGAGGCUUGGUGUGACCAUCUGGUCCUGGCCAGUGUGGUGUCCCAUGCUCAGCUGUGCGGGGCCACGAGCCAUAAGCCUCCGUUGUCUUGUGACUUAUCCUGGCUGUGUCUUCAGUGCCUACACGCUGGGUACCCCUUGUGCCCCCCCUUGCUAAUUCGCUUGACUCUCCCAUGAGGGAUUCAUCUUGACUGCUAGCAUUCUGUGACAGUGAUGGCUCUGCCGUCGUCGAGGUGAGAAACGUGAAUUGGAAUAUUAAUCCCCGGGGCUCAGGCGCGUGGUUCCUGUGCCAAGCCAUGAUGGACGAGGGAGAUGCAGUGGCCUCCUUCCUCCUCUGCUUCCUCCAGCGGUUCUUGGGGAUGUGAGCAGGGUUUGGUGGUCCUUGUCACCCAUCUGGCUCUCUGGCAGGUCCUGGCCUGCUGCACCUUGUGCCCACGGGGAAAAGAGAAUUGGCUGGAACCCGCUCUUAUGGUUGGUGUGGCGCAGGGACGUUAGCUGUCCAGUCAGCCAGUGAUUUAAUAAUCUCUGAGCCAAUAUUUAAGAACUGGAAGAUUUAAUAUAAAAAUUUGGAUCUUCUCUGAAGAGCAGCAGGGCUGGUAGCUCUGGCCCUAUCUCCAGAGUGACCAUGGUCUGAAGGAGUGGAGGCCCACCCUCCAGACGUGUUCCCCAGGCCACUCGGUGGACGUUCAGCUGGACACAACUGCGUGCCAGGCCUGAUGGAGGUGCUGUUGGGGAGCUGGCGGGCCAUGUAUUAGUGUCACUUGUUUCUGUUCGGGCAUAGUCCUGCUGACUAGUGCCCUGCAGUAGUGCUUUCUGUGAUGACAGGGACGCUUUGCACCCCUUGGCCAAUCAUGUUCACUCACCAUGCGUUGGUAUUGAGUGAUUGAAGCAUGGCCAGUGUGACUGAGGAGCUGGAUUUUGUCACUGUAGUGCCACAUGCCACUUUAGCCACAUUAUGGGUUCAGUCUGCCCGCCAGGCCUGUUCUGGGUGCUGUGCGGCAUCACCCCCGGCUCUGGGGCCUUUGCGUCUUGCAAACUGAAUCCCGCCCCUGCCCCUCCAUUCCGCCCCGUCCAUGAGGUGGAAGGUAAGGGGACUCACACCCGCCCGUCCAGUCCUUCUGUGGGUGGCUUAUGUCACUUCAUUCCUGUUGCAGAAGGUGUCACUGUUUCCUCCCUUUUGAAGUCCUCCCAUUGGGCAGUGAAUUUUUAAUGUCAUUUCAAGUCCAUUAACAUAUUUAAAUCUCCGUGCAUUUGAAGGCCCAGGCUGGCUAGGGCUGCCUGUCCAACAGCGGGUUCCAGACGUCUGGCCUCAGCCCCCCUCCUCUGAGAAUCCAGUCUUCCCACCCAACAGGUGGCGCAGCCGAGUCACGUGACUUGAGGAGAGCCAGAAGCUUGGACGGGGUCCUCCUGGGUGCUCAGCUGGCCGUCCAGUGUGACCGCAGCAGGCUGCGCGGGGUGGGUGAUGCCAGGUUAGAUGGGGUGGGCGGCUGGCAGGACUCACACGGAUCUUCAUGCUGGGGGAAUGAUUGGACUUAAAAAAUAAUCAGCUGCCAGGUGAACCUCCCAUAGCAUGAGUCAGUCACUGGAAAGCGCCCCGUCCAUGGGCGGUCAGCAUAGGGACAGCUGCGUGCUACUGCCUGCUUUUGAAAUUACAAAAUAUUCCCAUCACCUGGGAAGGAAACCGUGUGGCCCCCGGCCAGUUCCAGCGACUGCCACCCUGCUGUCUGUGUCUGUGACCUGGCCUGGUGGCCACUCCUGUAGAUGGUGUCACCCUGCAUGUGGCCUGGGGCCUGGCUACCCUCCCUGAGGCUCUUCUUCAUGGGUGAGCCCUGCUCUGCGGGGUACCAGGGCCUGGGUCCUGUCUGAUGCAGUGAGCAGGUGCAGGGUCUUUGGCAGGGUCUUUCUGAGGUGGCAGUGUGUCGGAGGGAGCCCGUCCCUGGCUCCCAUUGCUGGUACACAUGAAGCCCUUUCAUCCCAGGGCAGGGCUGUCCCGACUCACCGGGUCACCUUGUGGUCAGAGGCCUGGGACUCGAGGGGGAGCCCCUCGUCCUUCAUCCCAUGGACAUAGGCGUCUCCUCCCAGACCACCAGUGAGGCUGGCUGUGGGGGCUGGUGGCCCAGGGCAGCUCAGUGUCUCUAGGUGGGCUGUCCCCGGGUGGGCUUGCUGGACGCCUUUGUCCCAGCCCUGCAGAGCAGAUGUUGCCAGAGGCAGGAGCCGCAGUGCUUCCCUGGGACAGAGCCCUGGCCACCCCAUGCUGGGCCCUGGGGAGGAGGGCGUGGGCUCCAAUAGCUGGGCCAGGAGAGGGACAUGGCACAAGCCUGGAGGCUGAGUUCCAGGCAGGGCCCUCAGCCUGCCCGCCUUUCCCUGGUGACGCGCUGCUGGCCUUCUUAGCUGGCCGGCUCCUCUGUCCCCACCUACAGCACCCGUGGCUCUUCCAGGCUUCUUGCUGGCGGAUGAGCGCAGGAUGCCUUCUGCGUUCCUGCGUGGCCUCCUCUGGCCCUUCACUUGUCCAUCCUGCCUGGGAAUUGGUGGCUCAGCCCCUGCCCACCCCUUUGUGAACUGCCUGGACUAUGUGUCACUGACGGGCACUGGUAGCCUGAGACAGGACACAGCCCACACAUGACCGUUGGAACAGGAGAGGGAACGUGCGGGUGCAGUCACCUUUCUUCUCUCCUCGGGGACCCAAGGCUUCUCUGUAGCAGGUCCUUUGAUGUGACAUGGAGGGGGCUCCGAGCUUUGAUCCUGACUCGCGGUUGGCUUUGUUUUGCUUUGUGUUUGGGUGGCAGGGGCCACCUCCUGACCCAGAGUGCCCCUGCUCUGCUGCCUGCUCGAUCACCUGUGAGGGAGGGAGAGCCUUUGAAUACUGGUGCCCGGGAAGAGUCUCUAUGGGUGUCACCCGGGUCCUUUUGCUCCCAUUAUGUUUUUGUUUUGUUCUGGUUUCGCAGUGCUGGGGACGAAACCCAGGGCCACGCGCGUGCGAGGCCAACGCUGUCCCACUGAGCCCCACCCCAGCUUCCCGGGCCCUUUUUGUCUUAUCUCUCAUGUAUUUAGAAUCCUUUUUAAUGCCUUGAUAAUUUUGGGUGAGCUAGAAAAUAAAGCCAAAAGGUGACGGAGACUCUUUUUAGCUAGUAGGUGCCACCACUUUAAAUUUGUCUUAAAAAUUAUUAAACUCACAGAACACAAGGGGGUUCUAAUACUAAUAAAAACUAAUAAUAGUUUUGGGGGGUCAUGGGUACCAGAGAUUGAACCCGAUUGAACCCAGGGCCUCUCGGCCACUGAGACACCUCCCCAGCCCUAGUGUGUAUUUUAUUUAGAGACAGGGCCUCACUGAGUUGCUUAGGCCCUUGCUUAGUUGCUGAGGCUGGCUUUGAACUCACGAUCCUCCUGCCUCAGCCUUCCGUGCAUCACCGUGCCUGGCCACAAGGAUCCAUUUUAAUGUGUGGCUCGGUGGUGUUCGGGGGACCUUGAGUGUUCUGGGCCCUCGCCUCGUCUAGUGUGUGAGCACUGUAGUCCUCACACAGGAGCCCUGGCCCCUACUGGUCACUCCCAGUCCCGCCUCCUGGCCCCAGGCAGCCCCCUGUUCUGGACAUUUCCUGUCAAUGGAGUCAGGGCGUCUGCGUGACUGUUUGUGCCUAGUUUCUGUCACUUAGCGCAGGUUUGAAGGCUUGUCCAGAUUGCAGUGUCCACAGUGCACCAUUCCUCUUGUGGCUGAGCCACACCCUGUGGCAUGGACAGAUGCUCUUGUUCAUUGGUCAUCUGCUGGUGGACACAGUGUCCACUGGGUGGCUGCCAUGAGUGCUGGGGCUGAGAACCCUCGUGCACUGUGUUUGAGCUCCUGCUUUUGUCCUGGGGUGACUUGGCUACUUUUGCAAAGCUCCACAUGUGACUCUUGUGGGCCGCCAACCUGCGGACCGCUGGCUCUCUGGUCCCUGAUUUUGGAGCCCCGGGAGGACUGUGUUCAGGCUGUGGCGUCGAGAGGUUGCUCGAGCUGCCUGACCGUGGAGUCCCCCAGCUGGGACACCCUGAAGAACCAUUCUGUUUGGUUCUUCUGUACUGGCCACUGUGUGAAGGGAGCCCCUUUGAACCCUGGGGGAACUGCAUAUCUCACACAACUGGCUUUCCUCAUGGUAGGCUGAGCCCCCGAGGCCAGGCCACACCAGUGCACCCCUGCUCCCUGCUCCUGCGUGGAGAGGGGCUCUCGGUCUACUUUCUGGAACAUCAGAGGCUGGUUGCCCUUAGGAGAGCUAGUUCAUCCACCCAACCGAGUGGGUGAGUUCGUCAUGUGACGAGCGCUGAUUGACACUCACCCUGUGCCAGUGUGCGUCAGUGCUGGGGAGAGGAAAGACAACACUGCUGUCAAUGAGCGCUCUGUCUACUGGGGCGACAUUUAGGCUCUCAGACUGAGGGGUGGUUUCCAGAGGGAUGUCAGGAAAUGUCAGUUCCAAUGACAGACACCCAAGUCGAACUGGCAUGACUCGAAGAAAACGUCUUUUGGUUUAUGUAACUUAUGCAAAGUCCUCCUAGGCUUCAGGUGCGGCUGGAUCCAGUGCUCCAUGGCUACUGUCAGGACUCAGUUUCCCUCCUUGGGUCUCAAGGCUAGUUUCUUCUUAGACAUGCUCUUCUUCAAAGACAGCAGAUAGACAGACUCACCCUUCCAGCAGAGCAGCUGCAGCAGGAACAACAAAACAACAAAACAUAUCUUUCCUGAUGACUCCAGAAAACAAGAAAAAUACCAGUUCUGACUCUCACUGGCUGGGAUUGGGUCAUGUGACCAUCCUUGACUUGAUCGUGGUAUGUGAUUGGCCAGGCCUGGUCAUGUGCCUUCUCCUGGAGCCAGGCGUCAGGGAGAUCCAUGCGGCUGUACCUCUUGGGUGGAGAGUGGAGGGAACUCCCCGGGGGGCAGGUGGGGAGAGGAGGCUUGGAGGGAGCUCUGCCAUGGCUUUUCCCAUAAGAACACCUAUCCUGCCAGAUCAAGGACCCACACGAGACUUAACCUGUCACCUCCGCGGAGGCCCCAUCUCCACAGACUCUCCCACCGGGGCUUCGACACCAACCUUUCCCAUGACGUGCCUGCCUCCCUUCAGCGCCUCCCUUUCCGCCUCCGCCCCGGGCCUCCCCAUCUUUGCCCAGCCACGUACUGGUUCUUUGCCCUGCAGCGCAAAUUGUUGAAGGUGUUUGAAGAAAGGUUGCCGGUAACAGGCCAUUGAUUGACUCCUGAGAAGGAGUCACGGAUUCCCCUUCUGGGUUGGAAUGGGGGGGCACAGGGACCCUCCUCCUGCCCCUGGCUGUGGGAUCCACAGAUGCUUCACCGCCUGUGUGGUGCAACUGGGGCCCGGCCCGGCCGCUGGCUGCCAUUCUGGCACUUGCUGGAGCCCUGAGCUCACAGAUGCUUCCCCCUGAUGCCGGCUUGUAAUGAAGAUGCAACUUGCCACUCUGACACGAUGGAGCCCUAAGUUCAUCGGAAGAGUUCUUCAUCUGCAUUGUGUAAUUAGCGACAUAUGAUGCUUGUAUCAGCUCAAUUAAAAGUCAUGGUGAUUAAUAUGGA